This 116-nucleotide ribosomal RNA is filed under the name uncultured bacterium W5-51b. The record is from RNAcentral.
CGGUGGCUAGAGCGACAGGGCCACACCCGUUCCCAUCCCGAACACGGAAGUUAAGCCUGUCAGCGCCGAUGGUACUGCGAGGGACACUUCGUGGGAGAGUAGGCCGUCGCCGGCCU